Molecule: ribosomal RNA, 463 nt
Filed under: uncultured bacterium
Lineage: Bacteria
Description: bacterial SSU rRNA
Rfam family: Bacterial small subunit ribosomal RNA
Source: RNAcentral
CCUACGGGAUGCACCAGUGGGGAAUAUUGCACAAUGGGCGCAAGCCUGAUGCAACCAUGCCGCGUCUAUGAAGAAGGCCUUCGGGUUGUAAAGUACUUUCAGCGGGGAGGAAGGCGAUAAGGUUAAUAACCUUGUCGAUUGACGUUACCCGCGGAAGAAGCACCGGCUAACUCCGUGCCAGCAGCCGCGGUAAUACGGAGGGUGCAAGCGUUAAUCGGAAUUACUGGGCGUAAAGCGCACGCAGGCGGUCUGGCAAGUCGGAUGUGAAAUCCCCGGGCUCAACCUGGGAACUGCAUUCGAAACUGGCAGGCUAGAGUCUUGUAGAGGGGGGUAGAAUUCCAGGUGUAGCGGUGAAAUGCGUAGAGAUCUGGAGGAAUACCGGUGGCGAAGGCGGCCCCCUGGACAAAGACUGACGCUCAGGUGCGAAAGCGUGGGGAGCAAACAGGAUUAUACCCCCGUAGUC